CGAGUGAAGCGGCAACAGCUCAAAUUUGAAAUCUGGCCUUCGGGUCCGAGUUGUAAUUUGUAGAGGAUGCUUUUGGUGAGGUACCUUCCGAGUUCCCUGGAACGGGACGCCAUAGAGGGUGAGAGCCCCGUCUGGUUGGAUACCGAUCCUCUGUAAAGCUCCUUCGACGAGUCGAGUAGUUUGGGAAUGCUGCUCUAAAUGGGAGGUAUAUGUCUUCUAAAGCUAAAUAUUGGCCAGAGACCGAUAGCGCACAAGUAGAGUGAUCGAAAGAUGAAAAGCACUUUGAAAAGAGAGUUAAAAAGUACGUGAAAUUGUUGAAAGGGAAGCGCUCAUGACCAGACUUGGGCUUGGUUGAUCAUCCAGGGUUCUCCCUGGUGCACUCUUCCAGCCCAGGCCAGCAUCAGUUCGCUGUGGGGGAUAAAGGCUUCGGGAAUGUGGCUCCUCCGGGAGUGUUAUAGCCCGCUGCGUAAUACCCUGUGGUGGACUGAGGUUCGCGCAUCUGCAAGGAUGCUGGCGUAAUGGUCAUCA
RNAcentral lists this ribosomal RNA (528 nucleotides) under Ilyonectria sp. Its description in RNAcentral is "LSU rRNA". It matches the Rfam family "Eukaryotic large subunit ribosomal RNA", at positions 90 to 643 of the family's 3401-position model. Lineage: Eukaryota; Fungi; Ascomycota; Sordariomycetes; Hypocreales; Nectriaceae. The record is from RNAcentral.